AGCGGCGGACGGGUGAGUAACGCGUAGGAAUCUACCUAGUAGAAGGGGAUAGCCCGGGGAAACUCGGAUUAAUACCGUAUACCUCCUUUGGGAGAAAGAAGGCCUCUCUUUGAAGCUUUCGCUACUAGAUGAGCCUGCGUAAGAUUAGCUUGUUGGUGAGGUAAAGGCUCACCAAGGCAACGAUCUUUAGCGGGUCUGAGAGGACGAUCCGCCACAUUGGGACUGAGACACGGCCCAGACUCCUACGGGAGGCAGCAGUGGGGAAUAUUGGACAAUGGGCGCAAGCCUGAUCCAGCCAUACCGCGUGUGUGAAGAAGGCCCUAGGGUUGUAAAGCACUUUAAGUUGGGAAGAAAAGUUAUUGAUUAAUACCCAAUAACCGUGACAUUACCUUCAGAAUAAGGACCGGCUAAUUCCGUGCCAGCAGCCGCGGUAAUACGGAAGGUCCAAGCGUUAAUCGGAAUUACUGGGCGUAAAGCGCGCGUAGGUGGUUUAUUAAGUUGGAUGUGAAAUCCCCGGGCUCAACCUGGGAACUGCAUCCAAAACUGAUUCACUAGAGUACGAUAGAGGGAGGUAGAAUUCACAGUGUAGCGGUGGAAUGCGUAGAUAUUGUGAAGAAUACCAAUGGCGAAGGCAGCCUCCUGGAUCUGUACUGACACUAAUGUGCGAAAGCGUGGGUAGCGAACAGGAUUAGAUACCCUGGUAGUCCACGCCGUAAACGAU
This 721-nucleotide ribosomal RNA is filed under the name uncultured marine bacterium. Its description in RNAcentral is "bacterial SSU rRNA". It matches the Rfam family "Bacterial small subunit ribosomal RNA", at positions 94 to 810 of the family's 1533-position model. The record is from RNAcentral.